UGACCCGACGCUUAAAAAACUUUUGGCCAAGCAUCGCUUCCUUCCCCUCCUCAUUUUUCCCUCGCAGCCCUGCCCUCAAAUUUUAUGCAAAAGUCUUCUAAAAACGCCUUAAUCUUCUCUUCCUCCUACUCGCCAGGGUAACGCCUUUAAUCGCUCUGAUUACCUUUCUCCUCUUACAUCUCAUAACCGCCAUUAUUUCUGUCAACCAUAUCCACAGCAGCCACAUCCUCUCUGAACAAGGCUCUUAGUCACUAUACAACCCCUUAUAUGAGUGCCCAAACCUGGCAUUCUCACUGGAUGGCCAUGGACUUGGCUUCGAAACCUCUAGGUGCUCUUUCCCCAAAUAAUGCUAGGUAUAUUAAAUCUGCAAAAAAAAUCAAUCAAAUUUCAGUUAUAACUUUACAAAAGAUGCGCCUUUUAAAAUUCUCUAAAAACCUUUCACACUGAAAUCUUCACCCUUCAAUAAUAAACACUCAACAAUUAACAGAGGAGAUUCAAACUCAACAUCAAACUUAUAUCCAUCUUCUUCUCCACGUCAUUUUUCCGAUUCUAACACCAUCGAUUCUCAUUAAAACCCCAAAACAGAGUUUAGUUAAUGGAGUUCAGUGGAGGUUUCUGGUUUGGGGCCCAAAUUUUCCAGUCAGUUUUCAAAGUUUCCGUCGAGUUGAGGUCUCCGGUCGCGCAUCCUUUAUUCCUAUCGAAACUAGUAGAUUCACUUGAGUCAUCGGAGCGACAAGUGGGAGGCAAAUUUUCCAGAGCAAGGAAAGACGUAGAGUCAAAUCGGAGAUCUUGGUAAUACUUCUACAUGAGGCGGUACCCCCUUUUCAUGCUAUGGCAUAUAGAGCGAGAAUGGGACUAUGAUUGCCACAUAUUACAGUACGUAUGUAAUUAUUUUCUAUUAAAUAUACAAUUCAGCUAAUGAAACGAUUACCACGACUGAAUUGAAAUUAACAGCGAUUGAAUUGAAAUACCAACUGAUCAUUAUCAUUAAAGUUGAUUUCAUUCAAUUCAAAUAAUGGGUCAUUAAUCUGUAUAAAUAAAAUACGAAGAACCUUUUCCUUCGUAUAGUUUGUCUGUCAUGAUGCAGAAAUGUCAGUUUGUUGGAUGGCUCCUACAUGCAUGUGUAUAUAUACAAGCAUGAAAAAAAUGUGGUUGAAGUAAAGAA
Lycium barbarum (goji berry) is the source of this 1165-nucleotide long non-coding RNA. RefSeq lists it as uncharacterized. The record is from RefSeq and is a predicted model, not a curated record. The transcript has 2 exons. NCBI's taxonomy places the organism in Eukaryota, Viridiplantae, Streptophyta, Magnoliopsida, Solanales, Solanaceae.